RNAcentral lists this transfer RNA (72 nucleotides) under Phrynosoma platyrhinos (Desert horned lizard). RNAcentral's name for it is "tRNA-OTHER". Lineage: Eukaryota; Metazoa; Chordata; Lepidosauria; Squamata; Phrynosomatidae. The record is from RNAcentral.
GCCAGGAUUGCAUAGUGGUUUGAGUGUUGGACUACGACUCUGGACACCAGGGUUCAAUUCCCAGCUCAGCCA